CAGUUCGCUAAGUAGACUCACUCUACCGAGGGGCAACAAAGGCUGGAACUCUUCCUGCCAAAAACAAGGGACCUACUUCUCAUCCUAGGAGUUAGCAGGUAUGAAAGAGUCCCCUCUCUGUCUGUCUCUCCGAGUUUCUACUACUAAGUAGCACUUCUGCUAUUCAAUCAUAGAAUCGAUUCCGAUCAAGCUGAAAAAAGUCAGCCCUAUAUAUGUUAUUAGUAAAGCGCUAACGCCCUAUCUAUAGUAAGGGGGCCUUUCUUGCUCGUUAGCGCUGUUUUUUGAUUGCAGCUAGGGCGCCCCUUUUCUUUCUCAAAGUCAACUUUCUCGCUUGUUAGUCAAGCUUUGAAGUCCCUACUUUAUUUAGAUUUAUGGGAUAUUUGAAGAAGCGCAGGUUUUCCACCCUAUACCUAUACAAGGGGCUGGUCUCGAUCUCGCUUGGUGGUACCCCUCUCGAUGAUUGUUGACUCAACAUUGAUUUCGUGCUUGAGUUGGAGGGCUCUCCCUCCAUCCAUCGAGUCAAGUAAUUCGCUAUCGGAAAUUGAUCCGCCGCCUAUCUCAUGCCAUGCUUCUU
RNAcentral lists this long non-coding RNA (574 nucleotides) under Nicotiana benthamiana. RNAcentral describes it as "long non-coding RNA (NBEN_LNC040795)". The record is from RNAcentral. Lineage: Eukaryota; Viridiplantae; Streptophyta; Magnoliopsida; Solanales; Solanaceae.